RNAcentral lists this ribosomal RNA (466 nucleotides) under uncultured bacterium. Its description in RNAcentral is "partial 16S ribosomal RNA". It matches the Rfam family "Bacterial small subunit ribosomal RNA", at positions 28 to 507 of the family's 1533-position model. The record is from RNAcentral.
GAUGAACGCUGGCGGCGUGCUUAACACAUGCAAGUCGAACGGAAAGGCUCCUGCUUGCAGGGGUACUCGAGUGGCGAACGGGUGAGUAACACGUGGGUGAUCUGCCCUGCACUUCGGGAUAAGCCUGGGAAACUGGGUCUAAUACCGGAUAGGACGAUGGUUUGGAUGCCAUUGUGGAAAGUUUUUUCGGUGUGGGAUGAGCUCGCGGCCUAUCAGCUUGUUGGUGGAGUAGUGGCCUACCAAGGCGUAGACGGGUAGCCGGCCUGAGAGGGUGUACGGCCACAUUGGGACUGAGAUACGGCCCAGACUCCUACGGGAGGCAGCAGUGGGGAAUAUUGCACAAUGGGAGCAAGCCUGAUGCAGCGACGCCGCGUGGGGGAUGACGGCCUUCGGGUUGUAAACUCCUUUCGCUAGGGACGAAGCGCAAGUGACGGUACCUGGAGAAGAAGCACCGGCUAACUACGUG